This 74-nucleotide transfer RNA is filed under the name Bordetella sp. RNAcentral describes it as "tRNA-Gly". It matches the Rfam family "tRNA". Rfam says of the family: Transfer RNA (tRNA) molecules are approximately 80 nucleotides in length. Their secondary structure includes four short double-helical elements and three loops (D, anti-codon, and T loops). Further hydrogen bonds mediate the characteristic L-shaped molecular structure. tRNAs have two regions of fundamental functional importance: the anti-codon, which is responsible for specific mRNA codon recognition, and the 3' end, to which the tRNAs corresponding amino acid is attached (by aminoacyl-tRNA synthetases). tRNAs cope with the degeneracy of the genetic code in two manners: having more than one tRNA (with a specific anti-codon) for a particular amino acid; and 'wobble' base-pairing, i.e. permitting non-standard base-pairing at the 3rd anti-codon position. The record is from RNAcentral. RNAcentral also lists the same sequence under 3 other names. Lineage: Bacteria; Pseudomonadati; Pseudomonadota; Betaproteobacteria; Burkholderiales; Alcaligenaceae.
GCGGGCGUCGUUCAAUGGCAGGACCUGAGCUUCCCAUGCUCAAGACGUGGGUUCGAUUCCCAUCGCCCGCUCCA